This 28-nucleotide small RNA is filed under the name Bombyx mori (domestic silkworm). RNAcentral describes it as "ovarian small RNA-32288". Lineage: Eukaryota; Metazoa; Arthropoda; Insecta; Lepidoptera; Bombycidae. The record is from RNAcentral.
UGAGUGUGAGGGCGCCCGGCCUACAGGC